UGAGAGUGGCGAACGGGUGAGUAAUAUAUCGGAACGUGCCCAGUCGUGGGGGAUAACGUAGAGAAAUUUACGCUAAUACCGCAUACGAUCUACGGAUGAAAGCGGGGGAUUCGCAAGAACCUCGCGCGAUUGGAGCGGCUGAUAUCAGAUUAGGUUGUUGGUGAGGUAAAAGCUCACCAAGCCGACGAUCUGUAGCUGGUUUGAGAGAACGACCAGCCACACUGGGACUGAGACACGGCCCAGACUCCUACGGGAGGCAGCAGUGGGGAAUUUUGGACAAUGGGCGAAAGCCUGAUCCAGCAAUGCCGCGUGUGGGAAGAAGGCCUUCGGGUUGUAAACCACUUUUGUACGGAACGAAACGGUUCGCUUUAAUACAGUGGGCUAAUGACGGUACCGUAAGAAUAAGCACCGGCUAACUACGUGCCAGCAGCCGCGGUAAUACGUAGGGUGCGAGCGUUAAUCGGAAUUACUGGGCGUAAAGCGUGCGCAGGCGGUUAUAUAAGACAGUUGUGAAAUCCCCGGGCUCAACCUGGGAAUUGCAUUUGUGA
Molecule: ribosomal RNA, 548 nt
Filed under: uncultured Polaromonas sp.
Lineage: Bacteria; Pseudomonadati; Pseudomonadota; Betaproteobacteria; Burkholderiales; Comamonadaceae
Description: bacterial SSU rRNA
Rfam family: Bacterial small subunit ribosomal RNA
Source: RNAcentral